AUAAAUUAAAAAGGGCUUGAAGGCUGAAGCUUUAACACUAAUGCCACAGGAGGACAAGUCAGUGCAAGAUCAAGCAGUUGUGGAAGUGAAAUCAAAGUGAUGUCAGACCGAUUAAGAAUAAACCACAUCAGAAGUGCAACUGGUGGCAAAUUUACCAAGGAAAACAUCUGCCAGAGAGCAGAGGUAGAACACUUAACAAAACCUUCAUUAUCUGUUGUUCUGCAAAGCAGAAGACUGAAUGCUGGUCUCCUGAAGUUUCUGGCAAAACUAGCUUUUUCAAUGGCUCAGAAAAAGGAUAUCCUGAACUAAUUUAUACUCUUCAUUUGAAACAUUGAUGGCUGGUAUUGAGACUAAAGCAAGGAAGCUGGGAAAACUUGGGGGCUACUGGUGUCUUUGAUAUAUUUCUAGCAAUGCCUUUAAUGAGAAUUUUAAUUCUUUGUGAAUUUGAAAAUAGAAGUGAUAAACCAAGUAAGUAUAAUGAAAACUUGAUAUAAAAAUGAAAAAUUUAAUUCAGA
RNAcentral lists this long non-coding RNA (515 nucleotides) under Parus major (Great Tit). Its description in RNAcentral is "lncRNA (ENSPMJG00000009204.1)". The record is from RNAcentral. Lineage: Eukaryota; Metazoa; Chordata; Aves; Passeriformes; Paridae.